CUUUUCUGCCUGUGCUCCAGCAUCUAACAUCCUUCCUCUUUCCUUUGCAGGUCCUUUUCUUCCCUGUUGCUUCCAGAAGCCCUCACCUUUUACUCACGUACAAACACAUUUUUCUUUCCUUUCUUACUGCAAUGCAGCUAAGAUUGUGAGAGCGUGCACCACCAAUGUCAAGGCUCUCCUCUUGCCCUCCGAGAAACAGUACUCCAGAGAGCGCUUCUCCCCCCAACCCCACACCAGCUCAACCACUGCUGGCAUUUCCAAUUUAUAGCCUUUUAAUAGUCCUGGCAUUCUCCAAAGCUUACUGCAUCCAUCUUUAAUACAAAUUAUAUUUCUGUCUCCCAAACCUGAUGUUGACAAAUGUGCAAGAGCAAGUAGCUGGAGGUACCAUUAGAUCUGGCUGAUUUAUUUGGAUACAUCUAAGUAUUGGAAAUAUCCCAAAAUGCUCAUACUUCUCUGUUUGUUGCCUUCUCCCCGAAAAAGUAACUUUACUCUAGAUGCUCUUUUACUUUAUAAGAAAGCAGGUGGCAGACUUCACAGUGUCUAAAAAUCUACUGCCAUCCAGCAUAAAUGAGGAGCCCAGGGCAGCGGUCUGCUCUGCAUCUUAACAUGGGUCUCCUUUUCUCCACAGGCUGGUUAUAUGUCUGGGAUGCUGGUGCCUGUGGGGGUGGGGAUAGCUGGAGCCUUGUUCAUCUUGGGAGCGCUCUACAGUAUUAAGGUGAUGAACCGGCGAAGGAGAAAUGGCUUCAAAACGCACAAAAGAAAGCAGAGAGAGUUCAACAGCAUGCAAGAUCGAGUAAUGCUCUUAGCUGACAGCUCUGAAGAUGAGUUUUGAAUUGGACUGGAAUUUCAUUGGGAUAAUCAACGAUGCUAUUAUUUUAUUUUUUAUUUGGGGGCAAAAAAAAAAAAAGGACAACCGCCUGCCACAUCGCUGCUGUCAGACCAUCAGUCUCAUUAUUUGCUGGAUCGAUUUUUCUUGCACUGAGCAGAAAAGGCAUGCUGUGUACUAAAUGUACUAUACAGUGUUUGUUUUUAUUCUGUAGUGAAUUUUCUACAACCGUGGGCUACCACUCAUAAAAAUGCAGCAUACAUCUUGUUCCAUAGGAGUUGCUAAGUUAGAUAGAGUAAAUAUUUUGUAUUUUUCCACAGUGUACUUUUCCUUGGUUUGGAUUACCUGCCCUAAGUCUAACAAUUAUUGCUACCAAGGCAUGCUUAACUGAAAUAGAAAUCUUAACAAAGACUCACUUGUGAUGACUGCAGUCUACCUACGUGAAGCCAUAGGCUUGUGGGCCAUGGUACACAUUACAUUUGCAUCAAAACUAGCAGCAACUCUAAAUGAAAUCGUUUUCAUCAAGAAAAUCUCUCAGCACAUUAGGAUUAUAUAUAGAUUUGUGUGUAUCUUGCAUUAUGUGUUUCAGUCUUUCAGUUUUACUAUCUUUCUCUUUCUGUUUUAUUCUCAUUGUUGGCAAGGAAGAAAAAUACAUCAUAAAUAACACAUUAAAUUGACUCAGUCUUAAUACAUGCUUGCUCUCUUAAAUAGUGUAAUGGAGUGCAACAGACCUAUCAGUGGAUUCUUAUGUGUGUAUCAUUAAGAGACAUCCUUUUUGUGUACCACUGACUUUGUUGAGAAGAAAUGAGGGAGAAAUCAAGAAGAACAUGAAGGUAGGUAAGCUCCCAGUGCAUUUAGCUCUACUAUUUGGCUCUGUGCUUGCAUGGCCACUGUUCAGAGUUAUUCAAAGCGCUUGUCUACACCUGUGAUCUUGGCCAUGGAAUGAUUGGGCCACCAUUGGUUCUUACUUGGCUUAUUAGAAUAACAGACAUGCUCUGGUAGAUGCAGACUCAGGGGCAGAGUUCUGGUACACAAUGGAGCUUAUGAAAAACCAGCCUCUCUCAGGGCACCCCACUUCAGGGGUGUUGGACUGUGUUAGAUCAUUUCUUAUUCCCUUUAGAAUGUAAUUCCUUGCCUUCUUUUUUGAAUCUGGGUAUUUGGGACUUUCGGUAAGUUGAGUUUUGGGGUAAAGACUUGGCUCAUUUCCAUGGAGGAAUAAACAUUACUAAUAAUACUGUU
Hipposideros armiger (great roundleaf bat) is the source of this 2065-nucleotide long non-coding RNA. RefSeq lists it as uncharacterized. NCBI's taxonomy places the organism in Eukaryota, Metazoa, Chordata, Mammalia, Chiroptera, Hipposideridae. The record is from RefSeq and is a predicted model, not a curated record. The transcript has 2 exons.